RNAcentral lists this long non-coding RNA (349 nucleotides) under Mytilus galloprovincialis (Mediterranean mussel). Lineage: Eukaryota; Metazoa; Mollusca; Bivalvia; Mytilida; Mytilidae. The record is from RNAcentral.
AUAAGAAAUAACUAUGUUAAAUUUUAAGAAAAUAAGAUAAGCUGUCCUGAAGUUACGGUGCGACAUGUUUAUGCUGGACAGACGGAUAGAUAGACGGACAGACGGACGGACCGAAUGACUGAUAGAUGGAGGAACGGACGGAUGGAAGGACGGACGGACAGACGGGUGUAUACAAUAAUACGUCCUGUCAAAAUUGGGACGGGCGUGUAAAAACGCAAAGAAAUGAAAAAAAAAACUCGUAAUUAAAGGUCAAUAAGUUUUAUUAGGAUAUCGGCCAAGUCGAUUUAUUUGUAUAUUUGUCUGCCUUAUCAUUUUUGCUAUAUAACUUUUAUAUAUAUUUGAAAAAAAU